This is a long non-coding RNA of Nicotiana tabacum (common tobacco), 747 nucleotides long. RefSeq lists it as uncharacterized. The record is from RefSeq and is a predicted model, not a curated record. NCBI's taxonomy places the organism in Eukaryota, Viridiplantae, Streptophyta, Magnoliopsida, Solanales, Solanaceae.
CAAACGGUAAAUUCCUUAUUUUCAUUUUUUCCCAAUAAUUGAAAAACUACGGAAGAAAAAUCCUACACUCCUUCAAUGGCGAUGAGCAAAGCUAAAACCCUACCCGAAGAAAUCAUAUUUGACAUACUUUCCCUGCUGCCUGCAAAAUUCAUAGGCCAAUACAGGUGCGUGUCAAAGCAGUGGCGCAAUCUUCUCUCAGACCCACAAUUCAUCAAAGCUCACCACAUUAUCCAUGCCCACAAAAAAGAAGAAAAACUCAUUUAUAUCUCUGUUUCUCAUGCUUUUCACACUAUCACUUUCAGGAAUUAAUCUACUCUAGGCACAAUACAAGUUAAGAGAGAUGUAUACAAAGCCUUAUCAAAAUCGAGUUGUACACAAAGGCCUGCAUCUCGAUAUGUUUAAUCCCAAUAGUGGUUUGUAUAAUGUGAUGAAGUAUACAAAGGUAGUAGUUGAGACAUGCAUUUGUGUUUGGUAUAUUUUGAAGCCUGCAAAGGCAGUAGUAGCAACGUGUGGAGAAAGGGUCCCUUUUGAUCAGACCCUCAUACUUGAGAUUUGAUCGUUCAUAUCUCAGUUGAGUUUUAAUAGAUGAUCUGAGUAGCGAUAAACGCGCAUUUAACAGGUUGUUUUACAUCAAGUCUUCUCCUCUUGUGAAAGCAGGAUUAUCCUUUGAAUUUCAGUAAACAAAUCUUUAGCUUUGCAAUGUUUUGUUAGCAUAUCAAAUAAUUGUGCUUCCCUGUCUUAUUUCUA